UACGAAGGGGGCUAGCGUUGCUCGGAAUCACUGGGCGUAAAGCGCACGUAGGCGGCUUCUUAAGUCAGGGGUGAAAUCCUGGAGCUCAACUCCAGAACUGCCUUUGAUACUGGGAAGCUCCGAGUCCGGAAGAGGUGAGUGGAACUGCGAGUGUAGAGGUGAAAUUCGUAGAUAUUCGCAAGAACACCAGUGGCGAAGGCGGCUCACUGGUCCGGUACUGACGCUGAGGUGCGAAAGCGUGGGGAGCAAACAGG
Molecule: ribosomal RNA, 254 nt
Filed under: uncultured bacterium
Lineage: Bacteria
Description: partial 16S ribosomal RNA
Rfam family: Bacterial small subunit ribosomal RNA
Source: RNAcentral